CCGGCGACUUCGCCCAUCCCGUCGUGCGCCAGCGGCCACCGUGCCUCGCACGGAAGGACGAGGGCGCUCACCGGGAGGAUGGACGGAGCGGAGAGGCGCGCUUGCGCCAGAGCUCAUGUUCCCACGCCUCGCGCCUCCUUGCACCGCUCGGGCAGCCCCUCGCCACCCGCCAUCGCCGGCGACCACCAGCAGCACCCGUCGCGCCUCUCCGCGCGCCACUCGGAGGCCCCAGCCAGGCCGCGCAGCCGUCCUCCACAACCCCGGCCUCCUCCUCGACCUCGCCUCUCCGUGCGACAACCGGCGUCGCCGCCGGCGGCCACGGGUCCAGCGUCGCCUUCGUCCUCCACCUCCUCCUAAAGCGCGCGUUCACCGCGGGCGCUGGCGGUGGCGCGGCGGUCCUCGCUGCCAAUGUCGCUGAACUGAAUCGUCAGCCAUCUCGGCCACGUCUUUCAGCACGCAGCCGGCGAAUCCAUUCAGCAGCUCCUGGGCAAACAGCUUUGACCCCCGUUAACACGUUAUGAGUAUCCAUGGCCUCUUCUUCUAUUUCUUCAGUGCUACCAUCUUGCUCGUCAGAGGAAACCGGUGGAGCUUCUGCUGCAUCUUCCUGACACUGGUCCUCAACCAGCUUGUUUUGCUCUUCUUUCUGAUGAUCUAUGGCCUGCUUUCCAUUUGUUGAGUGGGUACAGUAGUCUUCAUAUCAUCACCUAAUUGAUUGCAAACAAAAUUCUCAUCACUUUCAGAUACGACAGUCAAGACACAUAAUGCGGGACACUGCAACUACAGAAAGGCAUGGGACACGCACCAAUUUAAGUCCAUGUCAGGGGCAUCACCUGUCUCACGUUCGCAGGAGGAAGAAGCUCCGAGUUCGCCGGAGGUACACAAACAUCCGUCGAGCACUCCAAUGUCGCCUACGGCGUCUACACCAGAGGUGCCAAAGGCGUCUCAGGUGGAGGCGAAGGAGGUUCUUCUAAUUCCUAAGGCACCAGACUGGACAUUCCUAUGUUGACUACCAUUUAUGGUCAAUAAAGUUGUCCGUGUUUGUUUUUGAUUGCUCAACUAAAUAUCUGAAGCCAAAUGAUGUAUGCAUUCAUGUUUCUCUUCUAAGGCACAAAGACUGGACA
Molecule: long non-coding RNA, 1121 nt
Organism: Triticum dicoccoides
Lineage: Eukaryota; Viridiplantae; Streptophyta; Magnoliopsida; Poales; Poaceae
Exons: 2
Source: RefSeq, a predicted model, not a curated record